UAGGGUGUUGCUCAGUGGUAGAGCACCUGCUUUGCAUGCACUAAGCCCUGAGUUUGAUCCUCAACAGCACAA
Molecule: transfer RNA, 72 nt
Filed under: Mus musculus (house mouse)
Lineage: Eukaryota; Metazoa; Chordata; Mammalia; Rodentia; Muridae
Rfam family: tRNA
About the family: Transfer RNA (tRNA) molecules are approximately 80 nucleotides in length. Their secondary structure includes four short double-helical elements and three loops (D, anti-codon, and T loops). Further hydrogen bonds mediate the characteristic L-shaped molecular structure. tRNAs have two regions of fundamental functional importance: the anti-codon, which is responsible for specific mRNA codon recognition, and the 3' end, to which the tRNAs corresponding amino acid is attached (by aminoacyl-tRNA synthetases). tRNAs cope with the degeneracy of the genetic code in two manners: having more than one tRNA (with a specific anti-codon) for a particular amino acid; and 'wobble' base-pairing, i.e. permitting non-standard base-pairing at the 3rd anti-codon position.
Source: Rfam by way of RNAcentral